Molecule: ribosomal RNA, 287 nt
Filed under: uncultured bacterium
Lineage: Bacteria
Description: partial 16S ribosomal RNA
Rfam family: Bacterial small subunit ribosomal RNA
Source: RNAcentral
GUGGAUUAGAUACCCUGGUAGUCCACGCCGUAAACGUUGGGCACUAGGUGUGGGGUCUAUUCAACGGAUUCCGUGCCGUAGCUAACGCAUUAAGUGCCCCGCCUGGGGAGUACGGCCGCAAGGCUAAAACUCAAAGGAAUUGACGGGGGCCCGCACAAGCAGCGGAGCAUGUUGCUUAAUUCGAGGCAACGCGAAGAACCUUACCUGGGCUUGACAUGUAGAGAAAAGCCGUAGAGAUACGGUGUCCUUCGGGGCUCUACACAGGUGGUGCACGGCCGUCGACAGCU